AGCUUCAACCCACGCGGGCCAUCGUCGUAUUCCUAUUCCUAUUCUCUUUCGAUUUUCAUUGUAUUUACAUAGAUUUCUCUCUCUCUCUCUCUCUCUCUCCCUACUUUCUCUCAGGUCUUCUACUUCGACGUCGGCGAGAAUAGAAGGGGUCGUUUCCUCAAGGCAUUCCUGGACCAUGGAAUACCAGAGAGUCAUGAAAUGGUUGUUGCCCUGAUGCAAAAGGUAUGGAAUAUUAUAGUAUCAAAGUUUUGCUGGAUUGUCAUUUUCUUGCGGUGUAAUACAUUGUUAAUUUUUGCUCUGUAUUUAUAUGUUGGUUGUGGGUUUUCAUCUGCAGAUGCUAUAUACAGUUGUAUGAUUCCCCUCCAAAGUCAACCACUGAGAAAGACGAUGAGAUGUCCAAGUUGCCUCCUUCUCAGAAAAAGAAAAUGAGGCAAAAAUUGAGAAAAGCAUAGGCUCGAGCUAAGAAUGUAAUGUUUCUGACUUCUGUAUCUUUUCGGACGAUUCCCCUACAUUUAUUUUUAUCCUAAUGUUUAGCAUUCUUUUAGGAGGCUGAAGGUAAAAAUGAAGAAUCCAAUGCUAAUAGUGUCUCAAAUGAUAUGCGAUAGUUUAACAAAUUUGUUGGUUAAAUGUCCAUUGCCAUGACUUGAGAUAAUGACAAGUGAUAUGCGAUAGUUCAACA
Humulus lupulus (European hop) is the source of this 679-nucleotide long non-coding RNA. RefSeq lists it as uncharacterized. The record is from RefSeq and is a predicted model, not a curated record. NCBI's taxonomy places the organism in Eukaryota, Viridiplantae, Streptophyta, Magnoliopsida, Rosales, Cannabaceae. The transcript is spliced from 2 exons.